CUUGUACUGUGAAACUGCGAAUGGCUCAUUAAAUCAGUUAUGGUUUCUUUGAUGGUACCUUGCUACUUGGAUACCCGUAGUAAUUCUAGAGCUAAUACAUGCAGGAGUGCCCGACUUCGGAAGGGCUGUAUUUAUUAGAUAAGAAACCUUCUCGGGUUCGCCCGGUUGUGUGCUGAGUCAUAAUAACUGCUCGAAUCGCACGGCUCUACGCCGGCGAUGGUUCAUUCAAAUUUCUGCCCUAUCAGCUUUCGAUGGUAGGAUAGAGGCCUACCAUGGCGUUAACGGGUAACGGAGAAUUAGGGUUCGAUUCCGGAGAGGGAGCCUGAGAAAUGGCUACCACAUCCAAGGAAGGCAGCAGGCGCGUAAAUUGCCCGAAUCCUGACACAGGGAGGUAGUGACAAGAAAUAACAAUACAGGGCUACUUCUAGUCUUGUAAUUGGAAUGAGUACAACUUACAUCUCUUCACGAGGAUCAACUGGAGGGCAAGUCUGGUGCCAGCAGCCGCGGUAAUUCCAGCUCCAGAAGCGUAUAUUAAAGUUGUUGCAGUUAAAACGCUCGUAGUCGGGUUUCGGGUCGGGCCGAGCGGUCUGCCGAUGGGUAUGCACUGUUUGGCGCGGCCUUCUUUCCGGAGACCGCGGCUACUCUUAACUGAGCGGGCGUGGGAGACGGAUCGUUUACUUUGAAAAAAUCAGAGUGUUUCAAGCAGGCAGCUCGCUCUUGCAUGGUACAGCAUGGGAUGAUUGAAUAGGACUCUCGGUGCU
Molecule: ribosomal RNA, 761 nt
Filed under: uncultured marine Phaeocystaceae
Lineage: Eukaryota; Haptophyta; Phaeocystales; Phaeocystaceae
Description: SSU rRNA
Rfam family: Eukaryotic small subunit ribosomal RNA
Source: RNAcentral